RNAcentral lists this ribosomal RNA (269 nucleotides) under uncultured prokaryote. RNAcentral describes it as "partial 16S ribosomal RNA". It matches the Rfam family "Bacterial small subunit ribosomal RNA", at positions 524 to 792 of the family's 1533-position model. The record is from RNAcentral.
UACGGAGGAUCCGAGCGUUAUCCGGAUUUAUUGGGUUUAAAGGGUGCGCAGGCGGGAGAUUAAGUCGGCGGUGAAAUUUUGCAGCUCAACUGUAAAAGUGCCUUCGAAACUGGUUUCCUUGAGUGUGGAUGGAGUAGGCGGAAUUUGUGGUGUAGCGGUGAAAUGCAUAGAUAUCACGAGGAACUCCGAUUGCGCAGGCAGCUUACUAAACUACUACUGACGCUCAGGCACGAAGGCGUGGGGAUCAAACAGGAUUAGAUACCCUGGUA